RNAcentral lists this ribosomal RNA (533 nucleotides) under uncultured bacterium. RNAcentral describes it as "bacterial SSU rRNA". It matches the Rfam family "Bacterial small subunit ribosomal RNA", at positions 28 to 543 of the family's 1533-position model. The record is from RNAcentral.
GAUGAACGCUGGCGGCGUGCCUAAUACAUGCAAGUCGAGCGAACAGAUAAGGAGCUUGCUCCUUUGACGUUAGCGGCGGACGGGUGAGUAACACGUGGGUAACCUACCUAUAAGACUGGAAUAACUCCGGGAAACCGGGGCUAAUGCCGGAUAAUAUUUAGAACCGCAUGGUUCUAAAGUGAAAGAUGGUUUUGCUAUCACUUAUAGAUGGACCCGCGCCGUAUUAGCUAGUUGGUGGGGUAAUGGCUUACCAAGGCAACGAUACGUAGCCGACCUGAGAGGGUGAUCGGCCACACUGGAACUGAGACACGAUCCAGACUCCUACGGGAGGCAGCAGUAGGGAAUCUUCCGCAAUGGGCGAAAGCCUGACGGAGCAACGCCGCGUGAGUGAUGAAGGUCUUCGGAUCGUAAAACUCUGUUAUUAGGGAAGAACAAAUGUGUAAGUAACUGUGCACGUCUUGACGGUACCUAAUCAGAAAGCCACGGCUAACUACGUGCCAGCAGCCGCGGUAAUACGUAGGUGGCAAGCGUUA